This is a long non-coding RNA of Carassius gibelio (silver crucian carp), 359 nucleotides long. RefSeq lists it as uncharacterized. The transcript is spliced from 3 exons. Lineage: Eukaryota; Metazoa; Chordata; Actinopteri; Cypriniformes; Cyprinidae. The record is from RefSeq and is a predicted model, not a curated record.
UCCGCGGUGAGGUGAGCACGAGGUGGGCGGGGCAUAAGGGUGAUUGACGUUUAGGAAGCCAAUUAAAAUCCACCGAAUUGUGAUAUGUAGCCUAUCGAGAAACGGCAUUUUAAAACACAACAGAGAUCAUUGUGUAAUUCAGGUACGCAUAGGGUUGCCUUAACGACAAAGGUUUUAGUUCAGUGCCAACACCCAUCUACAAUAGAAAGGGAAUCCUCCCUUCAGUGGAAUGUACCAAACCAGUGAACCUGACACAGGUUGAAAUCGCUUUCCAGGGGGAAGGCGGGGAUGUCUCUUGGUUGAAAACUCUGCAAAGCAGGGAGGGAUCAUAUAUCUUCUGCAUCCUGUGCACUUAUAUG